CCGGGUCGUAGCGCAGAGGCAGUCGUCCCACCUUGCCAGGGUGGAGCACGCGGGUUCGAAUCCCGCCGCCCGGA
Molecule: transfer RNA, 74 nt
Filed under: Actinosynnema pretiosum
Lineage: Bacteria; Bacillati; Actinomycetota; Actinomycetes; Pseudonocardiales; Pseudonocardiaceae
Description: tRNA-Gly
Rfam family: tRNA
About the family: Transfer RNA (tRNA) molecules are approximately 80 nucleotides in length. Their secondary structure includes four short double-helical elements and three loops (D, anti-codon, and T loops). Further hydrogen bonds mediate the characteristic L-shaped molecular structure. tRNAs have two regions of fundamental functional importance: the anti-codon, which is responsible for specific mRNA codon recognition, and the 3' end, to which the tRNAs corresponding amino acid is attached (by aminoacyl-tRNA synthetases). tRNAs cope with the degeneracy of the genetic code in two manners: having more than one tRNA (with a specific anti-codon) for a particular amino acid; and 'wobble' base-pairing, i.e. permitting non-standard base-pairing at the 3rd anti-codon position.
Source: RNAcentral